CAGCAGCCGCGGUAAUACGUAGGGGGCAAGCGUUGUCCGGAAUUAUUGGGCGUAAAGCGCGCGCAGGCGGUCGGGUAAGUCUGAUGUUAAAGCCCGGGGCUCAACCCCGGUUCGCAUUGGAAACUGCUCGACUUGAGUGCAGAAGAGGAAAGCGGAAUUCCACGUGUAGCGGUGAAAUGCGUAGAGAUGUGGAGGAACACCAGUGGCGAAGGCGGCUUUCUGGUCUGUAACUGACGCUGAGGCGCGAAAGCGUGGGGAGCAAACAGGAUUAGAUACCCUGGUAGUCCACGCCGUAAACGAUGAGUGCUAGGUGUUGGGGGUUUCAACACCCUCAGUGCCGCAGCUAACGCAAUAAGCACUCCGCCUGGGGAGUACGCUCGCAAGAGUGAAACUUAAAGGAAUUGGCGGG
Molecule: ribosomal RNA, 409 nt
Filed under: uncultured microorganism
Description: bacterial SSU rRNA
Rfam family: Bacterial small subunit ribosomal RNA
Source: RNAcentral